This 71-nucleotide transfer RNA is filed under the name Marmota monax (woodchuck). Its description in RNAcentral is "tRNA.Ala". It matches the Rfam family "tRNA". Rfam says of the family: Transfer RNA (tRNA) molecules are approximately 80 nucleotides in length. The record is from RNAcentral. Lineage: Eukaryota; Metazoa; Chordata; Mammalia; Rodentia; Sciuridae.
GGGGUUGUGGCUCAGUGGCAGAGCGCUUGCCUAGCACAUAUGAGGUCCUGGGUUCGAUCCUCAGCACCACA